UACGUAGGGGGCAAGCGUUAUCCGGAUUUACUGGGUGUAAAGGGAGCGUAGACGGCACUGCAAGUCUGGAGUGAAAGCCCGAGGCCCAACCACGGGACUGCUCUGGAAACUGCGGGGCUGGAGUGCAGGAGGGGUAAGCGGAAUUCCUAGUGUAGCGGUGAAAUGCGUAGAUAUUAGGAGGAACACCGGUGGCGAAAGCGGCUCUCUGGUCUGUAACUGACGCUGAGGUUCGAAAGCGUGGGUAGCAAACAGG
RNAcentral lists this ribosomal RNA (253 nucleotides) under uncultured bacterium. RNAcentral's name for it is "partial 16S ribosomal RNA". It matches the Rfam family "Bacterial small subunit ribosomal RNA", at positions 524 to 776 of the family's 1533-position model. The record is from RNAcentral.